GGAGGUCUUGGGAUUAACUACAAUUUUUGGUAAUGUGUUCAUCGAAGAUGCGACACGUAAUGCCUUGCUUCUGAUAGUGUGAGAUGGCAGGCCGUUCAGAUGUUCCUGUGGCUGAAGGCAGCGCUGAACCCCUGAAGGGUGGAACACCCCACAUUGCUGACUUUGUACAUGGUUCCGAUGGACUGGGGAAUGUAAAUCUACCGUCCCCAAGUACGAAGAAAAUUGAAAAAUGUGCUUCUGAAUUUUUAAUAGAGACGGUCUCUCAGCAUCCUGGUGAAGUUUCUAUACUUGCCCUUGGGCCUCUCACAAACUUGGCUCUGGCAAUCAAAAUGGAUUCUACCUUUGCAAGCAAGGUGAAAAGGAUUGUUAUACUUGGUGGUGCUUUCUUUUCUCUAGGGAAUAUAAGCCCUGCUGCUGAAGCAAAUAUCUAUGGAGAUCCGGAAGCAGCAGAUGUUGUAUUCACAUCUGGAGCAAACAUCAAUGUGAUUGGAAUAAACAUCACCACACAAGUUAAACUUACAGAUGACGACCUACUUGAAAUAAGGGAAUCCAAAGGAAAAUAUGCUCAAGUCCUGUGUGACAUGUGCAAAUUCUACAGAGAUUGGCAUGUCAUGUCGGACGGGGUUUAUGGCAUUUUCCUCCAUGACCCUGUUUCCUUUGUGGCUUUAGUUCGCCCUGAU
RNAcentral lists this unclassified non-coding RNA (680 nucleotides) under Hevea brasiliensis (rubber tree). The record is from RNAcentral. Lineage: Eukaryota; Viridiplantae; Streptophyta; Magnoliopsida; Malpighiales; Euphorbiaceae.